RNAcentral lists this ribosomal RNA (190 nucleotides) under uncultured bacterium. RNAcentral's name for it is "partial 16S ribosomal RNA". It matches the Rfam family "Bacterial small subunit ribosomal RNA", at positions 1309 to 1500 of the family's 1533-position model. The record is from RNAcentral.
AACUCGCCUGCAUGAAGUCGGAAUUGCUAGUAAUCGCGGAUCAGCAUGCCGCGGUGAAUACGUUCCCGGGCCUUGUACACACCGCCCGUCACACCAUGGGAGUCGGUAACACCCGAAGCCGAUAGUCUAACGAAAGAGGACGUCGUCGAAGGUGGGAUUGAUGACUGGGGUGAAGUCGUAACAAGGUAUC